This 391-nucleotide unclassified non-coding RNA is filed under the name soil metagenome. RNAcentral's name for it is "partial contains 5.8S ribosomal RNA, internal transcribed spacer 2, and large subunit ribosomal RNA". The stretch from base 1 to 122 matches the Rfam family "5.8S ribosomal RNA", at positions 35 to 154 of the family's 154-position model. The record is from RNAcentral.
GAUGAAGAACGUAGCGAAAUGCGAUACUUGGUGUGAAUUGCAGAAUCCCGUGAACCAUCGAGUCUUUGAACGCAAGUUGCGCCCGAAGCCAUUAGGCCGAGGGCACGCCUGCCUGGGCGUCACACGUCGUUGCCCCCCCAUCUACUCCUUCGGGAUUGCGGGGGGCGGAUGAUGGCCUCCCGUGCGCCUCGCUGCGCGGUUGGCAUAAAUGCCAAGUCCUCGGCGACGCACGCCACGACAAUCGGUGGUUGCGAAACCUCGGUUGCCCGUCGUGUGCGGUCGUCGCGCAUCGAGGGCUCGAAAAAAUUGCCGGGUUCCGGCUCGGCUUUCAACGCGACCCCAGGUCAGGCGGGGUUACCCGCUGAAUUUAAGCAUAUCAAUAAGCGGAGGA